RNAcentral lists this ribosomal RNA (82 nucleotides) under Pantoea ananatis. RNAcentral's name for it is "partial 23S ribosomal RNA". The record is from RNAcentral. Lineage: Bacteria; Pseudomonadati; Pseudomonadota; Gammaproteobacteria; Enterobacterales; Erwiniaceae. RNAcentral also lists the same sequence under 6 other names.
GGGUUGUGAGGUUAAGCGACUAAGCGUACACGGUGGAUGCCCUGGCAGUCAGAGGCGAUGAAGGGCGUGCUAAUCUGCGAUA